Molecule: ribosomal RNA, 236 nt
Filed under: uncultured bacterium
Lineage: Bacteria
Description: partial 16S ribosomal RNA
Rfam family: Bacterial small subunit ribosomal RNA
Source: RNAcentral
GAUCCUGGCUCAGGAUGAACGCUAGCUACAGGCUUAACACAUGCAAGUCGAGGGGCAGCAUGUCGGUUGCUUGCAACCGAUGAUGGCGACCGGCGCACGGGUGAGUAACGCGUAUCCAACCUACCCUUGUCCAUCGGAUAACCCGUCGAAAGGCGGCCUAACACGAUAUGCGGUUCUCAGCAGGCAUCUAACGGGAACGAAAUGUGAAGGAGAAGGAUGGGGAUGCGUCUGAUUAG